Molecule: long non-coding RNA, 4859 nt
Organism: Hyaena hyaena (striped hyena)
Lineage: Eukaryota; Metazoa; Chordata; Mammalia; Carnivora; Hyaenidae
Exons: 3
Source: RefSeq, a predicted model, not a curated record
CCCCCCCGCGGUGAUUCCCUGCAGUCAGGAGUCUACACUGUCAAGGCGUCGGAGGCCUUGGAAAUGCCUUGGUUUGCAAGACCGGUAUCACUAGGCUGCAGUUACAGCGCCAGGAUCAUUUUCCUUCAUCAAGUGUCGCCCACACAACCCCUCACCUCGCCGGAGGACCACGUGGCCUAAUGGAUAAGGCGUCUGACUUCGGAUCAGAAGAUUGAGGGUUCGAAUCCCUUCGUGGUUGCUGCGGGGCUCACUUAUUACACUCCAGGCCCUUCCUGCUCUUUGAUGCUCCUGUUUUCUCGGUUCAAGUCGGUGAACAGAAUCUUCUCACGCUGACCUAACAGUUUUACGCCCCUCCCCUAGGCCUCCUCCGUUUGCGACCUCGCCGCCCCCUCCCACCCCCCGCCCCCACUCCGAGGGACUGUCCCUCGACGUCGCACAGCCCCCUCUCCUGGUCCGCAGCUGCCCCCGGACCUUCCCGGCCAGCCCGGCGCCUCCCGGCGCUACCCCAGCCUACAGAAUCGGGCGCUUCGGGGAGCCGGGGUUCCAGCCCGGCUGCAGGGGGCGCUGCCCGGGUCCCCGCGCCGCCGCGGCGCAGCACCCCAGGCCCGCCUCGCCUGCCGAGCGCCGGCCCACCGCGUCCCAAUCCUGCUAACGCCGCGAAAGUGAAGCCGCCCUGGGAACCCCAGCAAAGACGGGGGGCGGGAGGAGGCAGGACAAAGGUCACGCUUGAUGGUAGCCUCAGACAAAUGUAGGAAAGGGGUAGAAUUAGAAGGCCCCCCACCGUCCGCAAUCCCCAGAGAAAUAAGAGACUCAGAAAAGAGCAUGAACGAUGUUAAAACCCUAACACAGGGUUAUCGGGAAACAGCACGUGGUGUUAAAGGACAACCCCCCCCCCCGAAGAUUCCCUGCUAAUUGCACAGGGGGAGAAGGAAGCUCUGUGGGGACGAUUCUAUCUUCACCGACAGUGGAUGUCCUGACAAAUGCCUCUGGAUGGGAACUAAGUACUCUAUCAACUAGACAGUGUCAAGCCUCACAUUUUAACCUGAAUCUAAUCUAAUCGAAACGGAUCUAAUCCAUAAUUUCAAUUUAACUCCUGGUUUAAAGAGCAUCGAGGAAUAAAUAAAAGUUGCCUUGGGAGACACGGAGACAGACUCAGAAUGUGAGACUUUUACAAGAUAAUUGGCUUGGAUUUUUUUAUUUUUUAAGUCAAUGUCAAAACAGUAACGGGAACGAGAAGCUGGGAUACUGUUCUAAACUGAAAGGGACUAAGGAAACGUUGCAAAUCGAAGGCAAUGGAUGAAUGAUCUUUGACUGGAUCCUUGUUAGAAACACUGGCUCCUAAAGAUAUACUUAGAGAAACCCAAGUAAGGCCUAGAUGUUAGAUGUUUCUAUAAAGAACCGCUGGGGUUGUCAGUUCUGAUACUGAGGCUGUGGUUACCUAACACCUAUGUGCACCUGAUACUCGGGUACCUUGUAGGUGAUACAUCACGAUGUCUGCAAAGGAAUUUUAUAUGGCCCAGAAGAAAGAAGUAGAUAUGACUAAUAUGGCAAAAUGUUAACAAUUGUUGGAUCUGGAUGUUGGACCUACAGAUAAUUCCUUACUCUUUCAACUUUUUUUUAAGUUUGAAUAUUUUUAUGGUAAAAGUUCCAAUUAAAAAAAAAAAAAAAAAGUCUGGCAGGAGCUGCCCUGUGUAAACAGAGGCCAAAGAGCAAAAAAGGCACAGGGAUCCGAGGAAAUAUGCCGGAGCGUCAGCAUGAAGAAACCCGCACCUUGUGAGGAAGGCAGCCCACCUCCUUCAGGAGUCCCCAGGCCCUUUGGACGGAGUGGCCGAAAGGAAGCUGAGAAGUUAGAGAGCUCCCAUGACGAGCGCCUCUCCUGCAAUUUGUGACCUUCCUUAUAGGCCACAGAGUACCUUUUGAGAAUUCAAAGGAAGGAAGGGACACAAUCAGAUUUGCAGGCUCAGGUGAACAUAUCAGUUGGUGGUGACACAGCCCUACCUACAACAUCUCUGGUGUCCUCUCUCACCGCUGUCCCUCCCUGGACACCUCCAAAAUAGAAUGUUCCAGCAAGACAGAACAGUGUUCAGUUUCUCUCCUAUUCUGUGUGGUUUAGGUCUUUCCAGUUGGGCCAGCAUCCUUCAGAUCUGAGCUUGAAUAUGACUCAUCCCACAUAUAUUCAUAGAGCAUCCAUCUACCCAUUCGGAGGCAGCAAAGGUAGAACCGGAAACUGGCUUCACGCAACUCGGAGCCUAACGACUUACUCUCCAGGCAACCACCCAGGAUGACCAUGUCUGGGGCCUGGCACUACCUCAAUAGGCCACUUGGUGUCCUGGACCCCUCGCUUGGAUACCCAAUUGUAAACAUUCACUUGUAUAGUCAUUUGCUCUAGAAAGUCCUCAAAGGAGUGGCGUAUUUUCCUUCUCUCCACUGAGUGAGCAGCUCCUAGCAGGAUGCAUGACACAAGAUUGUGCUCAGAACAAUUUUGAAAGAAUGAAGAAAUGAACCCGUUCAGGGACAAGAGCCUGGAGGCCAAAGUACUUCUAAGAAGUUGUUGCAAUAACUCCUAUGAGAAACUCUAAGAAGCUGAUCUAAGAAAAUGGACCUGUGGCUCUGGAGUAAGAGCCAGAUCUGAGAAAAAAAUUAGGAGGCUGAACUGAAGGCUUGAUAAGCUGUGGGCUAUGGGGAGAGAGUCAGAGAAAGGAAGAAAAUUAAGGUGAGUUCUCAGUCUUUGGUUUUGGCUCCUGAUAAAAUCUGAGUUGUUGAAGGAGGUUCAAGCUUGGGGAGAAAGGGUAGGUAGAGCAUUCGUUUUGAGAUGCUCUUGAGAUGCCCAUGCACUUGCAAAAAGAAAUGACCAAGACAGCUAUAUAGUAUGAAGUCCAGAAGAAUGGCCUGGGCUGGAGAUAAUUUUCAGCACAUGAGCAGUAGAUUGCCAGUCAUGUCUCAUCCUUCUUCUGUUCACUGAAUGGAGCUAUCGAUGAAGUACAGAAUCUUGGAUUUGCACACUAAUACAUCCACACUCCUACACAUACAGGUAAGAUUGUGAUACUCAUGGUUGUGUAGUUUCAGAAAUGUGGAGAUCCUGGGAUCCGUGCUUGCUCUGAAGGUGAUUUUUGCAGAUUCUUUGUAACUAUCAUCUGCAGAGUAUCAGAUACAGCUGCUCUUCCCCUUGGGAGAGAAGGCCCCACACUGUGAAACAGACUUGACUUUCAGAAAUAUUUUCUACUUGCCUAUUUCAUUCCACAGUAUGCAUUCAGCUGCUUUAAAAUACUUUGAGCUUUGCCAAGAAACAGGAGAUAGGCUUCCCUAUAGAACAUUUUGAUGGGUCCCCUUUCUUGAAUUUAAAAAUGAUAGAUACAAUAGCAGCUGACAAUUUAUUGAGCCCUUACUGUAUUCCAGCCACUGGAUUAAGUGCGUGAAGACAUAAGGUAUCUGUGAGGACAUCAAUGUCAGAUUAUUCACUGAGAAUAAAUGUCCUACGGCGAAAAUAUGAGGGUUUUUAAAGUAUCAUUUGAAGGCGAUUAGUUAAAGAAGAUCAUCGCAACAAAUCGCUGAUUUGGGUUCUAGAAAAGACCCAAAAAGGGUUCUCAGUUUGCCACGUGCUGGAAUGCAGGUUGGGUGUCAUUAGCAGGGAUCAUUUCUUUUGUUGUCUUGUGUUACUAAAUCCUGAAGUAGCCUAGAAUACAUGAUAUAUGGUACCAUGGAGGAGGUGGGGAUAAGAAGACUGUGCUGGCUGUAGUCGUGGCCGAGUGGUUAAGGCGAUGGACUAGAAAUCCAUUGGGGUCUCCCCGCGCAGGUUCGAAUCCUGCCGACUACGACGGGUGGAUUUUAUAUAUUUGCUCUUCUUCCAGUGCAGUGUACUCGAUCUUCAGUCACAGCCUACUUUUAAAAACAUUAAAACAUUCGCUCAGAUGUUUUCAAGUGACAUCAAAAUGGAAGAAUUCUUACUGACCGCAAAGGAAUCCUAUUGUAUGAGUGAACCCAAACAAAAGAACUAAUUGAACUCUUUCGUUUGAAUUCUUAAGUUUCGGGGUUGGAAAUCCUGGUGAUAGGGAAAAUAAAGUUGGAAGGGAAGAUUUUCACACAUUCAUAUUUAGAGCAACCUAGUCAUUCUACCGCUUCCUUUUUCUUGUAGUGUAAAUAAGGUUAACGCCCGUGGGCCAGUGGCGCAAUGGAUAACGCGUCUGACUAUGGAUCAGAAGAUUCCAGAUUUAAUUUUUUACGAGUGGUUUUAGAUUCACAGCAAAACUGAAGAAGUUACCUACACAUGCUUCACAGUGCACAGCGUCCCCUGCUAUCAACACGGGCUACCAGCAAGUACCUCGUCCAGACACUUGGACCUAAUCCUGGAGAUCUAAGGACAUGGACUCUUGGAACAAACCAUUUCGUUCUGGCCAGGCCCCUCCUACAGACUGUCUGCGGCCACCAUCGCCUACCUGCUGACAGAUCCCCACCCCCACCGUAUCAGUAGCUUGUCUAGGUCUCCAAACAACUUUGUUCAUGUCUCAUGUCUCACUACUGAGACCCUCACACCCUCUUUAACCAGACACAUUGCUGAAAUCUUCGAGGAGCCGCCUCCUGACUGCUCACCUGGACAUGCUCUGGGCCUGCCACCAUCUCCUCACUCGGAGCUGUCUCCCCUGGCCGCUGGGUUCCUCCUGAUUCCUGCAGUGGUCCCCACCCCAGGGCCGCCCUCCAGCCUCCCGUCCCCGCCCUGUAGGCCACAUUUUGACUGCGUCUGCAGUGCCAACAUAAAUUUAUGUUUAGGAGAAGAAACAGGGGCCCAGUGUAAGUAAAGUGUGUUUAAAACCUAAAGAUCCACACUCAUUAUGGUGGUUAUUACCAAAAAAGAAAAAGAAAAG